GGGGGCGAUUCGGGUUCGACGGCAGCAUUAGGCUGCGGGAAGCAUGCCGGAGAAGGCGACUCCGUAAAAAACCAAAAACAAACAAUUCCCGAACGCGAACUCGCACUCGCUGCUUAAUUAACGCAGCGACGUCCUCUAUGGCUUGCCUGUAGGCUGUAGAAGGGCGUAAGAGAUACAGGCUACUGAAAGCCGAGCUCCUCUUAAGGCUUUCGGGAAAUUUUAAGAGGAUAGUCUAUAAACCGGUGCCUGUGCCGGUUUAUAGGCGAAACUUUCUCACAGGCUAAGCAUGUAGAUGCCCAACUGCUGGGAUGCUGUCGGACGGGGGUUCGAUUCCCCCCGCCUCCACUU
This 348-nucleotide transfer-messenger RNA is filed under the name Venenivibrio stagnispumantis. It matches the Rfam family "transfer-messenger RNA". From Rfam's summary of the family: Bacterial tmRNA, also known as 10Sa RNA or SsrA, is named for its dual tRNA and mRNA-like properties. Its role is to liberate the mRNA from a stalled ribosome. The record is from Rfam by way of RNAcentral. Lineage: Bacteria; Pseudomonadati; Aquificota; Aquificia; Aquificales; Hydrogenothermaceae.